Odocoileus virginianus texanus is the source of this 1968-nucleotide non-coding RNA. The record is from RefSeq and is a predicted model, not a curated record. Lineage: Eukaryota; Metazoa; Chordata; Mammalia; Artiodactyla; Cervidae.
AAUUCUAGAGGCCAAAAGUUCAAAAUCGAGGUGUCAACAGGGGCUGUGCUCCCUGCCAAGACCCUAUGAAGAACUCUGUAGUCGCCUCUUCUAGCUUUGGUGGUCCCGGUCAUUCCCUUGGCUUGUAGAUACAUCACCCCAGUUACCGCCUCCAUCUUCACAGGGCACUCUCUGUAUAUCUGCAUCCAGGUUGCCCUUGUCUCAGGGACACAGUCUUCAGAGUGAGAGCCAUUCUAAUCCAGCAUGACCUCAUCUUCACUUGUUACAUCUACAAAGACCCUGAUUCCGAAUAAGGUCACAGGCAUGGGUACUGGGGUUAGGACUUUCCAGGAAGAAUGGAAAAGAUAUCUUUCCAGAGAGAAUGAAACUAUGCCAUUAGCAGCAACAUGGAUGUCAUACUAAGUGAAGGGAUGCAAUCCAACCCACAGCUACCUUUUCCCAGACGCAAGGCCAAUAGUAAUUGAUCAUGAGAUUUUCUGCUGCAUACCCAUCACAACCCUUCUCCAAGCAGCUGUCAUGACUACGUCUCCAAGCAAUCAGAGUCUGCACCUUGGGUGAAGGCAACGUGGCCUCCUGGGUCCCACUAAAGGGAUGCAUCUAUGAUAAUGACCGUGAGCUUGUGGGUGAGAUCGCACUGGCACCUUCAAGCCAUGUCGGUGGCCCUCUUAUUCACGAGGGGAGCCCCGCCAAGAGGUCGCCCUGGAUAGCCUUGUUGCCAGUCCAUCUCCUUCUUGGCUCAGCAGGUACUGUGACACGUGACCACCGCCUUAAAUUCACAGAGGAAAAAGUCCCGCUACUUUUUUCUGAGUCCACAAUCCACGUGCACCAUGGCGUGGCCUGGUUCCAACUUCACUCCAUGCACACAUCUCUCCUCCCUCCACUCCCUGCAGAUUGGAAAUAGUGAUACACAGCCACCUCACAGGGCUGUCGGGCCAUUUAAUUAAUGUUUAUAAAGCACUCUGAGGUCUUCGGAUGAAAACUGCUGUGUAAGUGCAAAAUUAUUAUUAGUUCUCAGCCCCCGUCCCUUGACCUCUGGCAUGGGCUUUUGUUGUUCCUGAAUGGGAGCUGUUUAUGGGCUGCUCAGCUGGCCCUUUCGGGUGCAUAGGCCAGUACAUACGCAUUUGCAGGCUUUUUUUCCUUUGAGAAAAGCAUUCCAACUCGGUGGGAUGUCUUGCAGGUUUUCACCAUCUGAAUGUCUCCCUACUUAUCUCUGCUGAGUACUGUGAUCUCCAAGAGUAGAUUGUAAACAGGUUCUGCUGGAACAGAGGGAGGGGGAAAUGGUCAUUUUGAAGAAAUGGCCCCUCCUAUAAAGAAGAAUCAAAUGAUUUCCUUCUCAUGCAGAAUCUGAAUGAAUCACUCAGGGAAGUCUGUCUCCCUUGCCCAGAGGGAUCCUGUGCAUGUUUAUACACCAAAAGGAGAGAAGAAUAGCAGAUUUGCUUUCAGUGCCCAAGUUUCUCUUCCUUCCUUCGCCCAAACUUCUCGGGAACCAUGGAAACAAACAUACCCCGCCUAGAGGAUGUUUUCCUUCUUGUCUUUGUUGCCUAGCUGUGCACUUGCCUGAGCUCCCGUGGGGAGAAUGAAAUGAAGAAGUGGUAACGAGAAAAGAUAACGUCUGCAAGUGAAAUGCCUGUCUCUGAAAGACAGAAUGGGGCUCGUGUGUCAUUCAUCAAGCUCUGGGGCAAUGAACAAUGUCUUAAGGUACCAUUUUCCUUUUCUAUAAAACAUAUUCAUACUCAUCCCUCAAUAUUCACGCACAAUCCACUAGGAUCCCUUCAAGGUAUCUUUUGGUUUAUCUGAAUGCUUGGUUAGCAGGGUUGGUUAGUCAACUGCUGGAAGAUUUUUACUUUUAAAAAAUCGCUAAGGUGCCAUCAUGUAGCACAUAAUCAGUAGGACAAACGUAUAAAGCCAUGGGGCCAAUGAAAGCAGCAAGUGUUUGCCAUAUCCCAUAAAAAAAAAAUAAAACCGAAA